This 1533-nucleotide ribosomal RNA is filed under the name Triticum aestivum (bread wheat). RNAcentral describes it as "partial small subunit ribosomal RNA". The record is from RNAcentral. Lineage: Eukaryota; Viridiplantae; Streptophyta; Magnoliopsida; Poales; Poaceae.
AUGAUGGUGACAAAAAGGCUCAUUGUGGACCUGGUCAAGAUAUACACCUGCCGUUGUGCCGGUAUUGCACGAUCAAAAUUCCUGUACAUUAAUUGGACGGAAGUGGGUUGUGCCCUCGCCAAAGAAACAUCACAGUGCCUGAAGCUAUCCCAGGUUUCCAUCAUGGCCAAGGUGUCCAGGAGGACCGCCGCCGUCUUCCUCUUCGACUACGAGGACCCGGACGAGCUCGGACGCCCAGGAGGACCGCCACCGCUCGAUGCCCUCGACCGUGCGGCCUGCCCAGGAGGAGCGCCACCGCUCGACGCCGAAUUCGCGCCGCCUCGACUAGCUUCGGCUGCCCCGAGUCGCCCUCGACCUCCCAAGCAACUCCCCGACGAAGUCUCCUGCAGAAGAGUAGCAUGGGACAGUAGUUGUGGCCGUGGAAGGAAGACGUUUACGCACACACGUCGGAGCAUCGGUGCUGCUACGUCAGAGCAAGGCGAAGGGCAACGAUGUGCGCCCGUGCGUGAGCAAGCUGCCUCGGCUGCUGCAGCCGGUACCACUGCUGGCCCCGGCCCGGUUGCACUCGGCAAUGAGCACGAGGACGCGAUCACGGAGGCAGUUCGCGAGCGGAGCACGAGGAGGAUCCGUGGAGCGUGCGGUGGUUUCGGUGGGUUUGGAUUGUUGGAGCGUGCACUGCAGCUUGGAUUUAUUUGGGAUGGAGGUGGAGAUGGGAAGGGCCUGAGGAAGAGGACAGAGGAUCUAUGGCUAUCCCAGAAAAAAUAUUUCUCUGCUGCCCCAAAUGACAUGUGGGGCCCAAAGCUACCGCGAACCAAUUCCGAAGGUGGAACAUCUAGAACUUUCUCCGUCGAUGCCCGAAGGACUCCCCACUGCUCCGCGCUCAUUCCACCACCUUUCAGAAGUUUCCAUCACCUUCCAGACUCUCCGUGUCCGGCGACCUACAUAAACUCCCUCCUCCUCCUCGCCAUUGCAUCCCCAUCAAAGCAUUCCAUAAAAUUCAACAAGCUAUCCAACGCAAGUCCAACCCGAGGAGAUCUAUGGAGCUCAAGAUCAGCGAGCGAGAAUGGCGAGAAUGGUGUUUGGCUUGGAGAACCCGAUGAUGACGGCGCUGCAGCACCUACUGGACAUCGCAGACGACGAGGCUGGUGGAGCCGGUGCAGCCGGCAGCAAGAAGCCGGGCCCGACGCACGUGCCAUGGCGGCCACCCCGACCGACGUGAAGGAGCUAUCAGGCGCGUAUGUGUUUCUGGUCGGCAUGCUAGGGCUCGGAUCCGGCGACAUCAAGGUGCAGGUGGAGGACGAGCGAGUGCUGGUGAUUAACGGUGAGCGGCGCAGGGAGGAGAAAGAGGACGCUAAAUGCAUGCGGGUGGAGCGCUGCAUGGGCAAGAUGAUGCGCAAGUUCGUGCUGCCAGAGAACACCGACAUGGAGAAGAUCUCUGUCACGUGCCGCGGCGGCAUGCUUACCAUGACCGUCGAGAAGCUGCCGCCGUCUGGGCCCAAGAAGCCCAAGACUAUCCAGGUCCAGGUCGCCUGA